UAACCAACGUUAUCAUAAUGUAAUGACAACGGACCGUUUCUCUUUCCACCGUUGGGAUCCCUACGCCAUCUUUGAUUCUGUCUCAAUGGCUCCGUUCAAGCGGCGCCCUCUGCUGGUCAUCUAGGCUCUCGGUGUUGGUACAUUUAAUCAGAUUAAUGUCCAGUUCGAAGCAAAAAGACGCCGGCAGCCAUUGUGGAAGCUUCAAAAAUAACAUCCACCCUUCAGAGAUCUGGAAGAAUCAAAACCACAGCAACAAUCCCAGAGCUGCAGCAGCAGGAACACCCAUGCUGUUCCUCCCUCUUUGUUUACUGCAUUUUAAUCCUUUGUGAUGUUGAAACCAUUCAAACAGUGCUGCACUUGUCAUCUACUGGAUUUGCUGUGGUUUACAGUGGAGCGAAAACAAAACAGACCCCUGGAUGUGAGAAGGGCUCCUCUGCUGAUUCGGCCUACAACUCUUGUUCGGCACAGAUGUGACUCUUGGUGGCAGCCAGACGUCACCGUUCGGCCACAGCGCCCUGCCUGAGCCGCUCUGACUCACACGUUCAACACUGUUGCCAGGGCUACCGUUUAUUAACCCCGGCCCUCAACUUUGAGCCGCAUGUUCAGGCUGCGGCGUGGUCUGACGGCUGACACCGGCAAUGAAUCGCUCUGACACGAACCAUGAGCAGAGAAGAUGAGUCUGAGUCUGACUGAUGGAGACUGUGACAGGGGGCAACAAUGAUGGAGCAAGAUUUCUGAAGAACAGGAUGUUCACUGGGCCUGGAGACAGGAGUGCCAUACAUAAGACACUUCUGCCCCCUGGUGGACAGGUCGCUUCUUAACCACAAACUGUGCUGAAGGAACCAUUGAGCGUUUCGUUAGAAUAUGUUUUUGUCUUUCAUUGAAGAGGAAGAUGUUUUCUUUG
Poecilia latipinna (sailfin molly) is the source of this 904-nucleotide long non-coding RNA. RefSeq lists it as uncharacterized. The record is from RefSeq and is a predicted model, not a curated record. NCBI's taxonomy places the organism in Eukaryota, Metazoa, Chordata, Actinopteri, Cyprinodontiformes, Poeciliidae. The transcript has 2 exons.